UGUGAGGGUGAUGAGUUGCACCAAUCAGUCGGGGUGUCUGCUGCAGUGGCACCAGCACCUCGACCCGAUCCAACCUGAGGACACACACUGUGCACAGGGGCCAUCUGACUCUAC
Molecule: small nucleolar RNA, 114 nt
Organism: Scophthalmus maximus (turbot)
Lineage: Eukaryota; Metazoa; Chordata; Actinopteri; Pleuronectiformes; Scophthalmidae
Source: Ensembl